CAGUCGAGCGGACGGAUGGGAGCUUGCUCCCUGAAGUCAGCGGCGGACGGGUGAGUAACACGUGGGCAACCUGCCUGUAAGACUGGGAUAACUCCGGGAAACCGGGGCUAAUACCGGAUAAUUCUUUCCCUCACAUGAGGGAAAGCUGAAAGAUGGUUUCGGCUAUCACUUACAGAUGGGCCCGCGGCGCAUUAUCUAGUUGGUGAGGUAACGGCUCACCAAGGCGACGAUGCGUAGCCGACCUGAGAGGGUGAUCGGCCGCACUGGGACUGACACACGGCCCAUACUCCUACGGGAGGCAGCAGUAGGGAAUCUUCCGCACUGGACGA
RNAcentral lists this ribosomal RNA (329 nucleotides) under Bacillus sp. CSu5_2. Its description in RNAcentral is "bacterial SSU rRNA". It matches the Rfam family "Bacterial small subunit ribosomal RNA", at positions 59 to 378 of the family's 1533-position model. Lineage: Bacteria; Bacillati; Bacillota; Bacilli; Caryophanales; Bacillaceae. The record is from RNAcentral.